Molecule: ribosomal RNA, 722 nt
Filed under: uncultured eukaryote
Lineage: Eukaryota
Description: SSU rRNA
Rfam family: Eukaryotic small subunit ribosomal RNA
Source: RNAcentral
GGUAUCGCCGUUAGUCAUGUGCAAAUAUGGAUAGCUGUUUUAGCCGUCUUUAUUGACUGGUUUAUAAGAGUUAUCAGAUAUCACUUUGAUUAAAUUAGAGUGCUUAAAGCAAGUGUGUUACUUGUAUAUAAAUGCAUGGAAUGAUGGAAUAUGUUGUUAUUCUAUUUGUUGGUUUUUGAAUGAUAAAAUGAUUGAAAGGAACUGUUGGGGGCAUUCGUAUUGUUGUGAGAGAGGUGAAAUUCUUAGACCACAGCAAGACGAACUACUGCGAAAGCAUUUGCCAAGAAUGUUUUCAUUGAUCAAGAACGAAAGUUAGAGGUUCGAAGGCGAUCAGAUACCGCCCUAGUUCUAACCAUAAACUAUGCCAACUAGCAAUUUGCUUUGUAUUUUUUAUGACUAAGUGAGAGGCCACGGGAAACCUAAGUAGGGUUAUGGGGGAAGUAUGGUUGCAAAGCUGAAACUUAAAGGAAUUGACGGAAGGGCACCACCAGGAGUGGAGCCUGCGGCUUAAUUUGACUCAACACGGGAAAACUUACCUGGUCCCGACACUAGAAGGAUUGACAGAUUGAUAGCUCUUUCUUGAUUUGGUGGAUGGUGGUGCAUGGCCGUUCUUAGUUGGUGGAGUGAUUUGUCUGGUUAAUUCCGAUAACGAACGAGACUCUAGCCUAUUAAAUAAUACACGGAAUUUUAUCUUCCGCGGUAUUUCUUAGUGGGAUCAAGCG